This is a long non-coding RNA of Pseudopipra pipra, 3457 nucleotides long. RefSeq lists it as uncharacterized. The transcript has 2 exons. The record is from RefSeq and is a predicted model, not a curated record. Lineage: Eukaryota; Metazoa; Chordata; Aves; Passeriformes; Pipridae.
AAAGAACAAAAUCUGUGCUGAAGUUUGAUGUGUUAACCUAAAAUACCACAAAGUCACAUGUGCACUCACAACUCCAGUCCUAAGGAGCAAAUGUUUAGGGCUUGGCCGAUUCCUAGUGUUGAAGUACAUGCAGCUCUGGAAGGAUCUGUGCUAGUUCUAAAGGGCAAGUUGUCGGUACACAAGUUUUGCUAUGCUUUUCUGGAUGCCAGACAAAUGGCCAUUCUCCACAUGCAGUUGGCACUUGUUUGUCUGGGGUUGUAUUACAGCAUGACCUCAGUUUAUCACUGCAAUGAGCAUGCAGGAGUUUCUGCCCUUAUUUGCCCUGUCCCUCUCCAUGAACUGCAAAGCUUCAGUAGCUAUUGCAGAGCCAGGCCCGGAGCUGGUCUAAGGCAGACAUCAGAGGACAGGUACUAUCACUGCUGUCCAGAGAACAAGAAACUCCUUCUGGCAGGAGUAGUUAGUUAUCUAGCAGCCUUGCUCCACUUAGUGUCCACCUGCUUCUCCUCUAUCCAUCACUUUUAGAAACUGCCUGAGACUCACGUGCAACCCAGCCUUUGGAUGCUUCAGCAGGAGUAUUGCUGCACCUCCAAACAGACCCACAGCGCUCACUCACCGCUGUCCAGGCAGCCCACUUACCCAAGUGUAAAAGUGGAGUCUAAUCUGCCAUCUUCCAAGGUAGAAGCAGGGUGUUCAAGAUAUCCCUGUAUAUAACAUAACAUCUCUGUACACAUGCUGAUUGGUGCAGUUGUAUAGCAGUGUCCAUGAAACAGAAAGUCAGAUACGCUUGAAAUUGUUAAAAAAGAUUACUAGUCCAAAGACAAAUUUUAUCAAUAUUUUGUACUUGAAAUAUCUUAAGCAUGGAGAACAUUGUUGAGUUAUUUAAGUCAGUUUUGGUUCCUAUUCAGUACCUUAAAAAAAACCCCCAUAGCUAAUGUGCAGCAUGACAGGAUAGUCUUUGGCAAGGGACAUCCAGGCAGUUAAUUUAACUGUCGCGUUGGCAUCUUGUAACGGUACACUUUUAGAGCCUGGCUCAUCACAAACGACUAGACACCACUCAGAAGAAAGGCCAUUUCAGGAGCUUCUUGAAGAACGCACUGAGCCCACAGGUCUAACAGAAGUCAGCAAGUGUUGAAACAAGGUUAACAAAAUGGCCCAAAAUCCUUUUUAUUUUUCUUGGCAAACCUGAAGGAUCUGUUAAUGGUUUCUGUUUGCUCUACUUCAGGACUGAAAGUCUAGCUGCUCUAAAUCUAAACACUGCUCCGGACAUUUGGCAACAAACAGCAAAAUGACUUCCAGAGAGCAGUCAUGAGCCACAUCCUACCUAGGUAUUCACAUGGGCAUUCAGCCAAGAGUAAUUUCACAAUGAAACCUUUGGGAUACAAAGUAAAACUACUCAAAACAACUGGAAAGAUUACUGCAGAUUGAAGAAUACCAUAUGUCUGGUCUGGAGAGCAGUAUUGGCUCAACAGAGCUGAAGAUGAAGGUCUCUCUGGAGACGUGCAUAGCACAAAGAACCAGAAAUACAACCAUGACCCUUUUUUUUCCCCCUCAAAACUCCUGGUGCUGGUCUGGGAUUGUUAAGCUGCUUGACACUUUUGAUGUGCAGCUGUCAGGAGAUUAGCAGUGCCAUUUAUCUCCAAAUGUACAGAGGGGUUUCUAGUACUCCCAGAGCUGUGCCACAGCUCAUGCUGUUAUUAAUUUCAGAAAGGUCAAACACUUUUCUGAUAAAAUAUUUUGGUUUGCCAAUGCGUAAGUACACAAUAAAAUAAAAUAAAAAAAGGCAACUGUGAGUUGUAGUCCAAACUCUUAGAUUGUUUAGGUGUUCUCAAGAGAAUUUUCUCAUGAAAAUCCAGAAGAUUUGAGGGAAGCUGAAGGGAAUUCUCAUUUAAUACUAACAGCCUGUCUAGAAGACAUUUGCUCAAAAGAGGCACUUUAAAACAUCAAAGGUCACGCAGCACUACUGGUGCAUAGUGUCAACCUCAGGGGGUACCUAGAUCCUCCAUGUGGAUUUCAGCCAACCUGUAAAGCUGUACAUGUGCAUUUCAGCCAACGUACAACACUCUAUUCUGUGAUCUGUCACAUCAGCUCUGUGGAAAGCCAGUAGGGGGACAUCAAAACAGCAUGCACCAAGUGAGCGAGGCCACCAGAUUCAGCCUCCAGGUGCCAACUGGGUUCUGGCUCAAGCAGUGUUAGAAACAUGCUGCUGCUUUCUUCCCAUGCAAGUUGGAGUGAACUUCCCAGAAAGGGACCAAACCAUUUUUAUUUUUCUUUUUAAACUAAAUGCUUUUAAUAGAAAACAAAAUACAAAAUAACUCUUUCCAGAAAGCAGAAAUAUUUAAUCUCUCCAAAUGACAAACUAGAACGUGCUUUUUCCGCAGAUCCUUGUUGUAAAUGCUGAUGAUUUAUCUCACAAAGUGUUCAUGAAACCGGUAUUGCAACAUUUGAGAAGAAUCCAACACUGGCAGAGCUGCCUCUGUGUACACACAAUAAUUUAGUAAGACUAUUUUUUCCCAUGUCACUUUGUGUGUCUCUCUUCAUCCCCCUCUCCCUAGACUGCCAACUUCCAUUUAUGGAAAUAUUUCUGUGAGGUGCAGUGGUGGAUUGACAUGCCCUGUUUCCAAUAGGAGUCCAAACUUAGCCACUUUAUUUCUAUUGUGCCCUCCCUCCAGACAAGGCAAGUUGUUUAUUACCCUUAAAGCCACCGCUGUGCCCCCACUGUCCUCCCAUCCUCAAAACACAGUGCAACCAGAGUCAGAAAAUUUCCUAAUUAAUGGAACAUAAAUACAAAUAUCACAGCUAGUAUCAGGAAUCAAACCCAAAUGACAAUGCAGAGAUGGGCCCCAACUGAGGUCAGAUUUUCAUCCCCUUACAAAAAAGAACAAUCGUAUUUUCUACUUACUUAGUCCAAAAUAUUCCAGAAGUGCUAUAAGGAGCUGUAGUAUUUAGGACCAUUAUCACUGUAGAAUAUACACAAUGUUCUUUUAAUAGAAGGGUCUUAAAAAUGCUGGUCCUCUGCAAUACCAGGAAAACAAAAGCAAAACAAAACAAAAAACACUGGGCCAGUAGUUCUCCACACACUUGAGCCUCAGUUAACAGUAGGUAACAUGUGCCCAUCAAUCAACGCAGGAUAUUUAAGUGCAGGUCAGCAGCUUAUCUGGUUGGCAGUUUCACUUGUCUGGACCAAGCUUUUGGUUUCCCCAAGCUACUGGAUUUACUCCCCUUUUUCCCGUUCCUACAAGUACAAGAUUAGAACGUAUAUGUAUUUUCAUCACUUCUCCUUUUUUCCUUAUUCUAUUCAACAGCACAGGCCUUUUCGUGACAUCUUAAAGCAUCUGCAUUACUCUGAACAUGCCUUUCAAGGGGCAAAGGAAGAAAAGUGUUUCACAGUCAGUAAUCUCAGCUUGCAAUGGACUCUGACAUUCAAUACACCCACCCACUUCCCUAAAAAAAAAAAUAA